CAUAAAAGUUGUCUGUGCAGUGUACAGCAUACGUAUUUUUUCACUUGGGCGUUAUAACUAUAUAUGAACUAUAUUUGGCACAUUUUGCAAAAAAACGUCUUUUCAGAUGUGAGUACUAGGCAUAUAUGUUGAAACUAGUGGAAUACGGUCAUCACUGCAAUACCCUAAGUACAGUGGGGUAUUCAAAGACCAACUCCACAUCACGACUACCCGUGACCUGUUACACGGCUAUCGAUUCAUUCCCCAGUCAGUCGAUAGUACCACAUUAAACAAUACUAUUUGCGCGUACAAAAAAAAUUCGUGAGUCAGAAUUUAUACAUUGUGUUACUUUAAAAAGGCAUAUAAAUUAAUACCAUUUUUUGUCCGAAACGAUGGCAUAUCACCAGGGUGGAAUGCCAGAUCAGCAAUUCCUUUGGGAUGUUUUUCAAAGGCAAGUUACGGAAACUAACGAUAUAAGGGAAAAUUAAAUUGUUUUUAUUUCAGAGUGGACAAAGAUAGAAGCGGUCACAUUUCAGCAGAUGAGCUACAAGUUGCCCUUUCUAAUGGUACAUGGUCUGCAUUUAACCCUGAAACGGUGCGUUUAAUGAUUGGAAUGUUUGAUCGCGAAAACAGAGGAACAGUAUCUUUUCAAGAUUUUGGAGCCCUGUGGAAAUAUGUGACAGAUUGGCAAAAUUGCUUUCGUUCAUUUGACCGGGACAAUUCGGGAAAUAUUGACAAAAAUGAACUUAAGACAGCACUAACUUCAUUUGGGUACCGUUUAUCUGAUCACCUCGUAGACGUUUUACUCCGAAAAUUUGAUCGUUUUGGACGAGGCACUAUACUUUUUGAUGAUUUCAUACAGUGUUGCAUUGUUCUUUACGUGAGUAUAAACAACAAUUUUAACAAGUCCAUUUUCACAGAGGGUUUUUAAAGGAACUCGACUUAACGUUUAUAUGUACAUACAGCUGCGGAGUUUAAAAUAGCACCAUGAAAAUAAUAUUGAAAUAUUUUGUUAAAAAAAUUUUGAAUGAAAGUGGAAUGAAGUUCUAAUGGAGGUGUUUAAAACUAUUAUAUCAAAUUUGAGGCUUAAUUCAACUUAUCCGAGAAAGAUGGUAUGCUUAGAUUGCUUUUGUUGGAAAUAUUUGGAAGGAAAAUUAAUUAUUCCGGUGUUUGGAAUAGCACCAAUUUCAUAAAAGCUCAACCAACUUCAAAUUUAAAAGAAAUUUCAACAAUUUUUCAUUACCAUAUUUUACUUUAAUUGUAUUCAAAGUUUAAUAAUUUGUUUCAAAGCUUUUUUUGGAGUCCUGUCGUCUUUCCUUGGGGAUUCAUCUCCACAAAUCUGGCAGAACCCCCAAAUGUAAAACUUUUUCAUUGAUUUCGUAUUAGAAACAUAUUCCUUAACUGUUCCCCAAAGAUUUUCCCUAUGGUUCAUAUCUGUGGACUGAGCAAGAGAAAACAUUGCAUAGAAGUCACUGUUUUAAAACACCUUAGAGCUCUCUAUCUGGUCUGUUUUGGGUCAUUUCCCUGAUGAAGACAUAACUCAACGGCAUUUUCUAUUACAUAUAAGGCAGCAUUAUUGUUUUAUUAUAUAAUAACAAAUAACAAAAAUUGAUUCAUCAUCGAUUCCAGCACGGGUACCUUACUUUCUUGUCUCGGUACCCGGUACUCGAAGAGUAAUACCCUAUUUACUAUUAUUACUAUUUACUAUAUUGUAGUUGUGGGGAAUAACGGUUGUAUGUAACGCACAGAAGGAAACGUUUCCGACCCCAUAAAGUAUAUAUAUUCUUGAUCAGCAUCAAUAGACGAGUCGAUAGAGCCAUGUCUGUCUGUCCGUCUGUCCGUCCGUCCGUCCGUCCGUCUGUCCGUCUUGUUUGUCGGCUAGUUCUCAGAGACUAUAAGAGCUAGAGCCACCAAAUUUUGGCUACAGACUGCUGUAUGCUCACACUGAAACCAGUGUAUUUAAAAAAUGAGCCACGCCCCCUUUCGCCUCCGCAAAAGGGCGAAAACCUCCAAAUCUACAGUUUUGAAGAUAAAAGAAAACGCCAUUCCGUAGAGAAUGGCCAUAUCUAUCAGAUCUCCAAAUUGGGAUCCGAGUGGAUCAUUAUUAUAGCCACAAUGAAGAAAUUAAUUUCCAGUGGCUAAACCCACACUGUCUCGCAGCUUUUGUUGUUCUUUUCACAUUCUCUCAUUCACACUCUGCUUCUGCUUCACUCGGCCCCUGCCUCUGCCCUCCCCCUGCCGAUUCCUCUUCCGACUUUUAACCCACCCCGUCCCGCAGCUUUUAUUUGUUUGUUUUUUUUUUGUGCGGACGGUGAUCUGCCUCGAGUCUGGAGUGUGUGGGUCUAGGGAAGGGCGGCGAGCUUACGGAGCGUGUUGGUGUGAGAAGUGUUGUAGAUGUAGAUGACAGAUGAAGAAAAAAUUAAAAAUUUGACAAAACACCACUAAGGUGCAGAUGUAGUACUGAGUGCCGGGUAUAAAAGUUAAGACGCGUAAAAAGCGUCUCAAACGUCCCUUUUCGUUAGAUAUAAAUAUGUGUCAAAAGGUUGUGGUUUUCAUUUGGUAGUCGUUUUACAUCAAAAGUAAAAUUUUGGCAAAAAAAAAAAAAUUUGUCUUCCUCCGGAUCACAGGAUCUAUAUCCAUAUAUAUUUUGGCCAACUCCAGUGUUUUUUCUACCUUGUAUUUAAUUUGCCCCAUGGUGACUUUGCUUAACUGGAUUUUUUCUCAGACUUCAAAAAUUUAUAUUCUUUUAAGCUAAAUCUAGCUUUGCUUAUCUUUGGAAAUUUUUUAAGAUCCUUUUUAAGCUCUGUGGCCGGCUUGCUCUCAGGAACCAGAAUUUUCAACCGAAAUGUGGAUAUUGCGCCAAUUCUUUCACUAGUUUAUGGUUGGAUACAUGUUUUAAAGCAAUACGAAUCAUUUUAGAUGUGGAACCUACUAUUUUCCUCACAUAGCUUUUGGAGUUAAAGGUUUGAUCCCUUGGGUUUUUUUCUUUCCUAAAGUGUAUCAAAGACCCAAAAACAACUAAUAUUUUUUAACUGUCUGUUUACAAUCGACUUAAUCUACCGAUUAAUAUAUCAAUUAAAAACAUUAUAUAUUAAAAAGCUCGGAAAAGUAUAAGUUUAUAUAAGAUACAAGUUUUGGUGCUAUUUUUGUUGCCGUUCAAUUUCGGUUCUUUUUAAAAAAGUUGCCUAAAUUAUUGAGAGCCGCCAAAGUUGUAAAUGUAAGGACACUUCUCUCAGAUAGGAGACAUGUCAACCUACUUUAUAUUACUUCAAAGUACAAAAAAUGUUGUAAUGAACCAAGUUCUAGGAGAUCUAGAACUACUUCUAAGAGAUUAAAGGAGCUACAGAAACCCAAUGUAGUGUGCAUAUACUAAGAACCCAAGUAAUGAAUGAUGUAUCAUAUGUAUUGAUGCCAAAAACACGUUACUAUCCGACUUUUAUAGAAGUAUUUAUAUGUACACAUAUAAAUCCUGUCAGGGAAACGGUAAUAUAACAGCCAGAUGGUUGAAAGAGACAGGAAGAAAGAGAGAUGUACAUACUUAAGUGAUUGGGCGAUAAGGAAUAAGCUAGAAAGUUAUUCAAUAGGCAAAAUGGACAGACAGAUUAGGGGAGUAUGAUUUAUAUUGUAAGAUGUACUGUGUUUUGUUGUUUAAGCCUCAAAUCUGAACAGUUGAGUUGACCUGGUCUGACCAGGUCUGACUAUUGCUAUUAUCCCGACAGGAGGGGACGGCUUUAUUGGUGCAAGUAGUUUUUAUCGUCAAACUCACAGCCGCGUUGUUGUCAGGGAAAUGCCUAUAGCGUAUCGUAAUAAGAAUGAUUAAGUUGGAACAUUUGAUUUGAGCUUAUUACCACAAGUAUCGAAUGAGAGCAAAUACAUAUACAUUACAGAUUUCACUAUUUUCACCGUACUUAGUAAUAAUCUGAUUCCCAACAUUUUUAAAUUGCAGACAUUGACAACGGCUUUCCGGCAACAUGAUACUGAUAUGGAUGGCGUCAUAACAAUACAUUAUGAGCAAUUUUUGAGUAUGGUUUUUUCUUUAAAAAUAUAAUAGUCUAUUUAAAAAGCCAUCAAAGUUUCUAAAUAUACAAUUUAAAGAACAUAAAAUGACUUGUGUAUAUUAAAUGGAUGAAAUUUAUUAUAAAUAAACAAUAAUAUCUAAUUUAACCUCCGCUAUAGUUUAUUUUUACACAAAAAUAUAUAAAUAUUAUAUAUAUAUGUUUGUUUAAGAUAUUACUUUGUACUUUGAUUGUAAUAAAAUGUGCAUAAAAAGAUGCAAU
Molecule: long non-coding RNA, 4256 nt
Filed under: Drosophila guanche
Lineage: Eukaryota; Metazoa; Arthropoda; Insecta; Diptera; Drosophilidae
Source: RNAcentral